Molecule: unclassified non-coding RNA, 102 nt
Organism: Cercocebus atys (sooty mangabey)
Lineage: Eukaryota; Metazoa; Chordata; Mammalia; Primates; Cercopithecidae
Rfam family: Y RNA
About the family: Y RNAs are components of the Ro ribonucleoprotein particle (Ro RNP), in association with Ro60 and La proteins. The Y RNAs and Ro60 and La proteins are well conserved, but the function of the Ro RNP is not known.
Source: Ensembl
GGCUGGUUCAAGUGCAGUGAUGUUUACAACUAAUUGAUGACAACCAGUUACAGAUUUCUUUGUUCCUUCUCCGCUCCCACUGCUUCAUUUGACUAGUGUUAA